AGAGUUUGAUCAUGGCUCAGAACGGAACGCUGGCGGCGUGCUUAACACAAUGCAAAGUCGAACGCGAAAGGGACUUCGGUCCCGAGUAGAGUGGGCGCACGGGUGAGUAACGCGUAAGUAAUCUACCCCUGUAUCUGGAAAUAACCCACCGAAAGGUGAGCUAAUACCGGAUACGUUUAUCUUGAUGCGAAUGAUGAUAAAGAAAGGUGGACUCUUCAUGAAAGCUACCGUACAGGGACGAGCUUGCGUACCAUUAGCUGGUUGGUAGGGUAAUGGCCUACCAAGGCGACGAUGGUUAGCGGGUCUGAGAGGAUGAUCCGCCACACUGGAACUGAAACACGGACCAGACUCCUACGGGAGGCAGCAGUGAGGAAUAUUGCGCAAUGGGGGCAACCCUGACGCAGCGACGCCGCGUGGACGAUGAAGGCCCUUGGGUCGUAAAAUCCUGUCAGAGGAAAGAAAUGUACAGGUGUUAAUAUCGCCUGUAUUUGACGGUACCAUCAAAGGAAGCACCGGCUAACUCCGUGCCAACAGCCGCGGUAAUAC
This 546-nucleotide ribosomal RNA is filed under the name uncultured Desulfobulbaceae bacterium. RNAcentral's name for it is "bacterial SSU rRNA". It matches the Rfam family "Bacterial small subunit ribosomal RNA", at positions 8 to 526 of the family's 1533-position model. Lineage: Bacteria; Pseudomonadati; Thermodesulfobacteriota; Desulfobulbia; Desulfobulbales; Desulfobulbaceae. The record is from RNAcentral.